This 325-nucleotide ribosomal RNA is filed under the name uncultured Nitrospirota bacterium. RNAcentral's name for it is "bacterial SSU rRNA". It matches the Rfam family "Bacterial small subunit ribosomal RNA", at positions 29 to 351 of the family's 1533-position model. Lineage: Bacteria; Pseudomonadati; Nitrospirota. The record is from RNAcentral.
AGUGAACGCUGGCGGCGUGCCUAACACAUGCAAGUCGAGCGGUUCUCGGGUAGCAAUACCUGAGAAUAGCGGCGAACGGGUGAGUAACACGUGGGUAAUCUCCCCUCGAGUGAGGAAUAAUCCUUCGAAAGGAGGCUUAAUACCGCAUGAAGCUCCGGGACUUAUGUCUUCGGAGUUAAAGCCGAAAGGCGCUUGAGGAUGAGCCUGCGUCCUAUUAGCUAGUUGGUAGGGUAAUGGCCUACCAAGGUUAUGAUGGGUAGCCGGCCUGAGAGGGUGUACGGCCACACUGGGACUGCGACACGGCCCAGACUCCUACGGGUGGCUG